UUUUUUUUUUUUUUUUUUUUUUUUUUUUUUUUUUUUUUUUUUUUUUUUUGAGUACCGUCUGGUUUUCUGCCUGCUGGUAGUGGUGAUUACUACUGUUUUCUUUUAUCUAUUAUUGUAUAACGACGCAAGACCAAAGAGGGGGACCUUCGGGCCUCUUGCCAUCGGAUGUGCCCAGAUGGGAUUAGCUAGUAGGUGGGGUAACGGCUCACCUAGGCGACGAUCCCUAGCUGGUCUGAGAGGAUGACCAGCCACACUGGAACUGAGACACGGUCCAGACUCCUACGGGAGGCAGCAGUGGGGAAUAUUGCACAAUGGGCGCAAGCCUGAUGCAGCCAUGCCGCGUGUAUGAAGAAGGCCUUCGGGUUGAAAAGUACUUUCAGCGGGGAGGAAGGGAGUAAAGUAAAUACCUUUGCUCAUUGACGUUACCCGCAGAAGAAGCACCGGCUAACUCCGAGCCAGCAGCCGCGGUAAUACGGAGGGCGCAAGCGUUAAUCGGAAUUACUGGGCGUAAAGCGCACGCAGGCGGUUUGUUAAGUCAGAUGUGAAAUCCCCGGGCUCAACCUGGGAACUGCAUCUGAUACUGGCAAGCUUGAGUCUCGUAGAGGGGGGUAGAACUCCAUG
RNAcentral lists this ribosomal RNA (621 nucleotides) under bacterium. Its description in RNAcentral is "partial 16S ribosomal RNA". It matches the Rfam family "Bacterial small subunit ribosomal RNA", at positions 144 to 673 of the family's 1533-position model. The record is from RNAcentral.